GACGUACCACCCAAACGUUAUUCGGAAUUACUGGGCUUAAAGAGUUCGUAGGCGGCUGAGAAAGUUGGGUGUGAAAUCCCUGAGCUCAACUCAGGAAUUGCGCUCAAAACUACUCAGCUUGAGGAAGGCAGAGGUGAGCGGAACUGAUGGUGGAGCGGUGAAAUGCGUUGAUAUCAUCAGGAACACCCGUGGCGAAAGCGGCUCACUGGGUCUUUUCUGACGCUGAGGAACGAAAGCUAGGGGAGCGAACGGG
Molecule: ribosomal RNA, 253 nt
Filed under: uncultured bacterium
Lineage: Bacteria
Description: partial 16S ribosomal RNA
Rfam family: Bacterial small subunit ribosomal RNA
Source: RNAcentral